UACGGGGGGGGCAAGCGUUGUUCGGAAUUACUGGGCGUAAAGGGCUCGUAGGUGGCCAACUAAGUCAGACGUGAAAUCCCUCAGCUUAACUGGGGAACUGCGUCUGAUACUGGAUGGCUUGAGUUUGGGAGAGGGAUGCGGAAUUCCAGGUGUAGCGGUGAAAUGCGUAGAUAUCUGGAGGAACACCGGUGGCGAAGGCGGUUCUCUGGGCCUGUACUGACGCUGAGGAGCGAAAGCGUGGGGAGCGAACAGG
RNAcentral lists this ribosomal RNA (253 nucleotides) under uncultured bacterium. RNAcentral's name for it is "partial 16S ribosomal RNA". It matches the Rfam family "Bacterial small subunit ribosomal RNA", at positions 524 to 776 of the family's 1533-position model. The record is from RNAcentral.